GACGAACGCUGGCGGCGUGCCUAAUACAUGCAAGUCGAACGCUUCUUUCCUCCCGAGUGCUUGCACUCAAUUGGAAAGAGGAGUGGCGGACGGGUGAGUAACACGUGGGUAACCUACCCAUCAGAGGGGGAUAACACUUGGAAACAGGUGCUAAUACCGCAUAACAGUUUAUGCCGCAUGGCAUAAGAGUGAAAGGCGCUUUCGGGUGUCGCUGAUGGAUGGACCCGCGGUGCAUUAGCUAGUUGGUGAGGUAACGGCUCACCAAGGCCACGAUGCAUAGCCGACCUGAGAGGGUGAUCGGCCACACUGGGACUGAGACACGGCCCAGACUCCUACGGGAGGCAGCAGUAGGGAAUCUUCGGCAAUGGACGAAAGUCUGACCGAGCAACGCCGCGUGAGUGAAGAAGGUUUUCGGAUCGUAAAACUCUGUUGUUAGAGAAGAACAAGGACGUUAGUAACUGAACGUCUCCUGACGGUAUCUAACCAGAAAGCCACGGCUAACUACGUG
RNAcentral lists this ribosomal RNA (508 nucleotides) under uncultured bacterium. RNAcentral describes it as "partial 16S ribosomal RNA". It matches the Rfam family "Bacterial small subunit ribosomal RNA", at positions 28 to 507 of the family's 1533-position model. The record is from RNAcentral.